Molecule: ribosomal RNA, 1372 nt
Filed under: uncultured bacterium
Lineage: Bacteria
Description: bacterial SSU rRNA
Rfam family: Bacterial small subunit ribosomal RNA
Source: RNAcentral
GACGAACGCUGGCGGCGUGCCUAAUACAUGCAAGUCGAGCGAACGGACGAGAAGCUUGCUUCUCUGAUGUUAGCGGCGGACGGGUGAGUAACACGUGGAUAACCUACCUAUAAGACUGGGAUAACUUCGGGAAACCGGAGCUAAUACCGGAUAAUAUUUUGAACCGCAUGGUUCAAAAGUGAAAGACGGUCUUGCUGUCACUUAUAGAUGGAUCCGCGCUGCAUUAGCUAGCUGGUAAGGUAACGGCUUACCAAGGCAACGAUGCAUAGCCGACCUGAGAGGGUGAUCGGCCACACUGGAACUGAGACACGGUCCAGACUCCUACGGGAGGCAGCAGUAGGGAAUCUUCCGCAAUGGGCGAAAGCCUGACGGAGCAACGCCGCGUGAGUGAUGAAGGUCUUCGGAUCGUAAAACUCUGUUAUUAGGGAAGAACAUAUGUGUAAGUAACUGUGCACAUCUUGACGGUACCUAAUCAGAAAGCCACGGCUAACUACGUGCCAGCAGCCGCGGUAAUACGUAGGUGGGCAGCGUUAUCCGGAAUUAUUUGGCGUAAAGCGCGCGUAGGCGGUUUUUUAAGUCUGAUGUGAAAGCCCACGGCUCAACCGUGGGGGGUCAUUGGAAACUGGAAAACUUGAGUGCAGAAGAGGAAAGUGGAAUUCCAUGUGUAGCGGUGAAAUGCGCAGAGAUAUGGAGGAACACCAGUGGCGAAGGCGACUUUCUGGUCUGUAACUGACGCUGAUGUGCGAAAGCGUGGGGAUCAAACAGGAUUAGAUACCCUGGUAGUCCACGCCGUAAACGAUGAGUGCUAAGUGUUAGGGGGUUUCCGCCCCUUAGUGCUGCAGCUAACGCAUUAAGCACUCCGCCUGGGGAGUACGACCGCAAGGUUGAAACUCAAAGGAAUUGACGGGGACCCGCACAAGCGGUGGAGCAUGUGGUUUAAUUCGAAGCAACGCGAAGAACCUUACCAAAUCUUGACAUCCUUUGACAACUCUAGAGAUAGAGCCUUCCCCUUCGGGGGACAAAGUGACAGGUGGUGCAUGGUUGUCGUCAGCUCGUGCCGUGAGAUGUUGGGUUAAGUCCCGCAACGAGCGCAACCCUUAAGCUUAGUUGCCAUCAUUAAGUUGGGCACUCUAAGUUGACUGCCGGUGACAAACCGGAGGAAGGUGGGGAUGACGUCAAAUCAUCAUGCCCCUUAUGAUUUGGGCUACACACGUGCUACAAUGGACAAUACAAAGGGCAGCGAAACCGCGAGGUCAAGCAAAUCCCAUAAAGUUGUUCUCAGUUCGGAUUGUAGUCUGCAACUCGACUACAUGAAGCUGGAAUCGCUAGUAAUCGUAGAUCAGCAUGCUACGGUGAAUACGUUCCCGGGUCU